This 253-nucleotide ribosomal RNA is filed under the name uncultured bacterium. RNAcentral describes it as "partial 16S ribosomal RNA". It matches the Rfam family "Bacterial small subunit ribosomal RNA", at positions 524 to 776 of the family's 1533-position model. The record is from RNAcentral.
UACAGAGGUCUCAAGCGUUGUUCGGAUUCAUUGGGCGUAAAGAGCGUGUAGGCGGCCAAACAGGUCCACUGUGAAAACUCGAGGCUCAACCUCGAGAGGUCGGUGGAAACCGUCUGGCUAGAGUCCGGAAGAGGAGAGUGGAAUUCCUGGUGUAGCGGUGAAAUGCGCAGAUAUCAGGAAGAACACCCGUGGCGAAGGCGGCUCUCUGGGACGGUACUGACGCUGAGACGCGAAAGCGUGGGGAGCGAACAGG